CCACCUUAAAUAUUUCAACGUGGAGCCGCCAUUCAAAUUUAGAGUUCAUCUUCUCCUGCAAAUUCCUAUUACGAUCAACCAAAAAUAGAUGUUCUGAAAGGUUAUAAGAGACGUGUAUUCAUGAGUAAUCUUUGCAUCCUUUCCGGUUUUAUGUCGUUUCGUUUGCGGUUCUUCUCCCCUCCUCGAAGGCGUUACAAGUUGCAUUGAUUCGACGCUAUUCAAUGAUUCUUAUCUUUCUUACAUGCGGUGGAUCUCAACUAUAAAAAUAGGCUGGAGGUGUUGCGAACCCAGAUGAUAUUCAGCUCCCCUGUUUAUUACCGACAUUGUUAGCAAAACAUACACAUUCCAUCUCAGCCUGACCAGUUUCAGUUAUACUGCGAAGCAAUCAAACUUUCACAAUCUCACGCAUCUUCGACGAGCGUCAGCGUCUUCGACUCUCUGACUUUGUUGUCGAUGUAAUUUUGUAACUACAUUGGAUACGGCUCUUCUGUAUGUUAAAGUAACAUUGUGCGUCUUGGUUUUAUCAGAGCGGCAACGGUGGUCCAGGAGAUGAUUUGAACGGUGGAAGCUUUGAGUUUAGUCUAAAAAUGUAUGUCUUUAUUACAUUUUGGAGCAUUGCCAUUUAUUCCAUUGCAGGCAAUGUUGAUGCUAUUUAGAAAAAUACAUGUUUUA
Raphanus sativus (radish) is the source of this 672-nucleotide long non-coding RNA. RefSeq lists it as uncharacterized. The record is from RefSeq and is a predicted model, not a curated record. Lineage: Eukaryota; Viridiplantae; Streptophyta; Magnoliopsida; Brassicales; Brassicaceae. The transcript is spliced from 2 exons.